Molecule: long non-coding RNA, 576 nt
Filed under: Homo sapiens (human)
Lineage: Eukaryota; Metazoa; Chordata; Mammalia; Primates; Hominidae
Description: non-protein coding ZEB1-AS1:20
Source: RNAcentral
AUCCCGGCGCAGAGACCUCGUCUGCCCCGGGAGGGGGAUCUGUGUGGUGGGGAGAGGGAGGCGGAUGCCGGGAAACCGUAGGGACGCGGUCAGAAAGGCGACGGGCUGUCGGAGUUGGAAAGGUAAAGUUGGAGGCUCGGCGGCGUCCUGCCUCCGCGCUGGCCACACCCGCCGCGGCUGCCCGGGGCAGGGAGGGAUCUGGCUGAUUCUCCCUGUACCCUGUGCCCUCGGAGCUGCCCCUCCGAGCGCCCAGAGGUCCCCGCCUGCCUGCUUCCUGGAGGCAGGGCUACCAUCAGUCCCACGCCUCGCGUGUCCGCCCCCCGCACCCCGGGGCCAAGGAAAGGGAUCGCGGUCUGGACUCCCCGGGGAGUUCCCUUGAUGAGGGGAAGGGCAGGUUUGGGGACGGCGAGGACACGCGGCGACCGGAGAGAGGCUACCUGACCCGCGCAGCCCGGACUCCCUUCCCUUCCCUUCCAGGGACGCCUGGUUUCCCCCCAAGCGAACCGGGAUGGGAAGUGACUUCAAUGAGAUUGAACUUCAGCUGGAUUGAAAGAGAGGCUAGAAGUUCCGCUUGCC